This is a long non-coding RNA of Schistocerca gregaria, 362 nucleotides long. RefSeq lists it as uncharacterized. The record is from RefSeq and is a predicted model, not a curated record. Lineage: Eukaryota; Metazoa; Arthropoda; Insecta; Orthoptera; Acrididae. The transcript is spliced from 3 exons.
GCCCCUGCUGGCUCAGAACGGACUAGACACCGCAGCUAUGAAGUCUUACACGCUCGUUGUACUCGUUGUGGCGGCGCUCAUUGGCUGCUCCAGUGCAAAAGAAUGCGGCACGAUCUGCCCUUCAGUUUACCAGCCUGUGAGAGCAAAGUGUGGCUCCGUCACCCGUCAGUUUGGAAACCGCUGCAAGAUGAACGUGUACAACUGCCAGCACAACGCCGGUUGUAAGGCGGUUUGAUAUGAUACCAAGAGCACUUUGAUGAUUCAUGAAGGAGCUGAAGAAAUGACAUGCCGAUACUGCCAGAGAUUUGAAGACUAGAUAUAAAAUAACUGUAAACACUGAAUAAAGAAGUGCCGUGCUAAAA